AUUGAACGCUGGCGGUAGGCCUAACACAUGCAAGUCGAACGGUAACGGACCGCUGGGAUUCCUUCGGGAUGACCUUGGUGCCGACGAGUGGCGACGGGUGAGGUAACACGUAGGAAUCUGCCCAACAGACGGGGGACAACCCCGGAGAAAUCCGGGCUAAUACCGCAUACGCCCUAUUGGGGAAAGCCGGGGGAUCUUCGGACCUCGCGCUGUUGGAGGAGCCUGCGUCGGAUUAGCUUGUUGGUGAGGUAAUGGCUCACCAAGGCUACGAUCCGUAGCUGGUCUGAGAGGAUGAUCAGCCACACUGGGACUGAGACACGGCCCAGACUCCUACGGGAGGCAGCAGUGGGGAAUAUUGCACAAUGGGCGAAAGCCUGAUGCAGCCAUACCGCGUGUGUGAAGAAGGCCUUCGGGUUGUAAAGCACUUUCGUUAGGGAAGAAAGGUGCGAGGUUAAUAACCUCGUACUGUGACGGUACCUAAAUAAGAAGCACCGGCUAACUCCGUG
Molecule: ribosomal RNA, 506 nt
Filed under: uncultured bacterium
Lineage: Bacteria
Description: bacterial SSU rRNA
Rfam family: Bacterial small subunit ribosomal RNA
Source: RNAcentral